GAGGCAAUGGACGGUUGACAGGGGCUGGAACACCAACGCAACUGAUGCCUUCACGGGCCAUAGCGUAAAACAAGGGCUGGACUAUGUGAUCAAACAGGUUACCGUGAUUAACGUUUUCUAAAAGAGUAGCUAUCGUGAGAAAUUUCACAUAAUUGAAGAUUAAUUUUGAACGGUGAAUAAACCGUUACACGUGGUUUUAAUUUACUGCAGUCUCCUUUGCAAUGUUCUGUGUACCUGCAAACGUACAAACAAGGAUAACUUGCAACUAAAAACAGGAUUGUUGUUGAGGAAGUUCAUGAAUUAAAUAUUGGAUUGUAUAAUGCAAUUUAUGGACAAUUGAGGUGAGGUUUUUUGAGAAUGUGUCCAGAUCUAUUUACAAAGGUUAAUGAUAGGUGGUUUUAUAACUUCUGAUGAGAUGUGAACUUAUCAAUAAAGCUGACUCACUGUGUGGAUGCUCAGGGAGUUUCCACCUGACACUGUUACUUAUGGAUAACCACAGUGUGAAAAACAUCUUGUAUAUCACAUAAAGAGUUUAAGUUACUUUCAUCUUCAUAAAAUAUCACUUUACAGUCCAAACCAAUCACUGGUUUUAAAUGUAAAUAGAGCUCCGGACGUCACGUGACUUGUGCUUUUCUCGCUUUUCCACUACAUGGUCCCGGCUCCACCAUGGAUGUAUUAUAAGAACUGGAUAGAGCACCGGCCCCUCUGCCUUGAAGAGGCCACUUUCGAUUACACCUGGAAUCAUCUUCAUGUGCUUGGGAAAAGGCAUUUUAUGUCACUAAUUGUUACAAACUGGACUUUCCCUCUUCUAGUGGACUUGGGUGUCAUUUUCUUCACCUCCAUAAGGGGGAGUGUCAGACUGAUCCAUACCUGGAGGGAUGUAGAGUUUUUAAGCCUCUGAAUAAUACAAGUGAAUGUUGGAAGUGGGAAAACACUCAUCAGUCAAAUGCGGAGGAGAGGAGUGAAGAGAUUUGGGGCUUUGACAGCCGUUGCUUCUUCUCCAACCUCACCAGACAGAGACAGCUGCCAGUGUUAAGCAGCCCCCUGGAGGGCCGCUGUUACAGACACAGGUGUACUGCACCAAACAGGUAUCGAAUCCAAGUUUCUGGCUCUGACUGGAUGGACUGUCCAGCAGGGGGCA
Molecule: long non-coding RNA, 1141 nt
Organism: Solea solea (common sole)
Lineage: Eukaryota; Metazoa; Chordata; Actinopteri; Pleuronectiformes; Soleidae
Exons: 3
Source: RefSeq, a predicted model, not a curated record